UCCUCCUUAGCUCAGUUGGCUAGAGCGUCUGACUGUUAAUCAGGAGGUCCACAGUUCAAACCUGUGAGGGGGAG
This is a non-coding RNA of Coniochaeta sp. 2T2.1, 74 nucleotides long. The record is from the annotation of a GenBank genome assembly. NCBI's taxonomy places the organism in Eukaryota, Fungi, Ascomycota, Sordariomycetes, Coniochaetales, Coniochaetaceae.